UGUUCUAUGGCCGAACUGGUAAAGGCAUUGCCGAUCACAGGCAAGGUAGCGGGUUCGAGUCCCGCUGGAACGG
RNAcentral lists this transfer RNA (73 nucleotides) under Operophtera brumata (winter moth). It matches the Rfam family "tRNA". Rfam says of the family: Transfer RNA (tRNA) molecules are approximately 80 nucleotides in length. Their secondary structure includes four short double-helical elements and three loops (D, anti-codon, and T loops). Lineage: Eukaryota; Metazoa; Arthropoda; Insecta; Lepidoptera; Geometridae. The record is from Rfam by way of RNAcentral.